UAUUUCCCUAAAGUUUGAAUGGUUUUGGGAUGUUUUUGGAGUAAAAAUGUUCAUGGAAAUUUUUGGGUUUUUUCAUGAAUGUUCUUCAUUGUUCUUGACAUUUUUGCCAAGAACAAAAAGUUUUGUGUUUGAUUCAAAGUUUUGAUUUAUUUCAUAAAGUUUAUGUUUUAUGAUUUUCAAAUGUUUAAUUGUUUUAGAUAUUUGUUUAAAUGGUGAUAGAAAUAAUGGUGGGUGUGAAAGGAUUAAUUCCCUUUCACACACACUA
Molecule: long non-coding RNA, 265 nt
Filed under: Malus domestica (apple)
Lineage: Eukaryota; Viridiplantae; Streptophyta; Magnoliopsida; Rosales; Rosaceae
Description: long non-coding RNA (MDOM_LNC015161)
Source: RNAcentral